This 253-nucleotide ribosomal RNA is filed under the name uncultured bacterium. RNAcentral's name for it is "partial 16S ribosomal RNA". It matches the Rfam family "Bacterial small subunit ribosomal RNA", at positions 524 to 776 of the family's 1533-position model. The record is from RNAcentral.
UACGGAGGGAGCUAGCGUUGUUCGGAAUUACUGGGCGUAAAGCGCUCGUAGGCGGAUUGAUAAGUUAGGGGUGAAAUCCCGGGGCUCAACCUCGGAACUGCCUCUGAUACUGUUAGUCUCGAGUCCGAUAGAGGUGAGUGGAAUUCCUAGUGUAGAGGUGAAAUUCGUAGAUAUUAGGAAGAACACCAGUGGCGAAGGCGGCUCACUGGAUCGGUACUGACGCUGAGGAGCGAAAGCGUGGGGAGCAAACAGG